RNAcentral lists this ribosomal RNA (756 nucleotides) under Pratylenchus coffeae. RNAcentral's name for it is "eukaryotic LSU rRNA". It matches the Rfam family "Eukaryotic large subunit ribosomal RNA", at positions 357 to 944 of the family's 3401-position model. Lineage: Eukaryota; Metazoa; Nematoda; Chromadorea; Rhabditida; Pratylenchidae. The record is from RNAcentral.
GGGAAAGUUGAAAGCACUUUGAAGAGAGAGUUAAAGAGGACGUGAAACCGAUGAGAUGGAAACGGACAGAGCUAGCGUAUCCGACUUGCAUUCAGCUUGUGCAGUCGCUGCCCAUGAAUCGCUGACCUCCAGAUUGGGGCUGUUGACUAGUGGGCCGGUGGCGGUGCAGUGCAUUUGCAAGUGGAGUGCGUCGAGGCAUUCGGGAUGGCGGAAUGAACUGGGCUUUGAGGCCAGCUUGCUGGUACCCGGGCUUGGGGAUUUCUGUUCGUUCUGGGUGUUCCCACACAUUAUGGACAAGGCUUUGCGAGUUGGGCUGGGUGCCAANCUGGGAGUCGGUGGCGGUCGCAUGCGACACGUACUGUGCCUCUGGUUUGGUCCUGGUCAAGCUCCACCUCUGUUCGCGCUCGACGUAAAAGCUGGUCAUCUUUCCGACCCGUCUUGAAACACGGACCAAGGAGUUUAUCGUGUGCGGCGAGUCAUUGGGCGUUGAAAACCCAAAGGCGCAAUGAAAGUGAACGUUUCCAUAUCGGAGCCGACGUGCGAUCCUGGUCACCGCGGUGGCCAGGCGCAGCAUGGCCCCAUCCCGACUGCUUGCAGUGGGGUGGAGGAAGAGCGUACGCGAUGAGACCCGAAAGAUGGUGAACUAUUCCUGAGCAGGACGAAGCCAGAGGAAACUCUGGUGGAAGUCCGAAGCGAUUCUGACGUGCAAAUCGAUCGUCUGACUUGGGUAUAGGGGCGAAAGAUAAUCGAACCAUC